AGAGUUUGAUCCUGGCUCAGGAUGAACGCUAGCUACAGGCUUAACACAUGCAAGUCGAGGGGAAACGACAUCGAAAGCUUGCUUUUGAUGGGCGUCGACCGGCGCACGGGUGAGUAACGCGUAUCCAACCUGCCCAUCACUUGGGGAUAACCUUGCGAAAGUAAGACUAAUACCCAAUGACGUCUCUAGAAGACAUCUGAAAGAGAUUAAAGAUUUAUCGGUGAUGGAUGGGGAUGCGUCUGAUUAGCUUGUUGGCGGGGUAACGGCCGACCAAGGCGACGAUCAGUAGGGGUUCUGAGAGGAAGGUCCCCCANACUUGGAACUGAGACACGGGUCCAAACUCCUACGGGACGGCA
Molecule: ribosomal RNA, 356 nt
Filed under: uncultured bacterium
Lineage: Bacteria
Description: bacterial SSU rRNA
Rfam family: Bacterial small subunit ribosomal RNA
Source: RNAcentral